RNAcentral lists this ribosomal RNA (253 nucleotides) under uncultured bacterium. RNAcentral describes it as "partial 16S ribosomal RNA". It matches the Rfam family "Bacterial small subunit ribosomal RNA", at positions 524 to 776 of the family's 1533-position model. The record is from RNAcentral.
UACGUAGGGGGCUAGCGUUGUCCGGAAUCAUUGGGCGUAAAGAGCGUGUAGGCGGCCCGGUAAGUCCGCUGUGAAAGUCGGGGGCUCAACCCUCGAAAGCCGGUGGAUACUGUCGGGCUAGAGUGCGGAAGAGGCGAGUGGAAUUCCUGGUGUAGCGGUGAAAUGCGCAGAUAUCAGGAGGAACACCGAUUGCGAAGGCGACUUCCUGGCCUGUUCUUGACGCUGAGGCGCGAAAGCUAGGGGAGCAAACGGG